CACAGGCUCUUUGGUGACGCUAGAUAACCUCAGGCCGAUCGAACGUCCCUGUGACGGCGACUACGCAUUCGGAUGUCUGCCCUAUCAACUUUCAAUGGUACUUUCUGCGCCUACCAUGGUGACCACUGGUAACGGGGAAUCAGGGUUUUAAUUCUGGAGAGGGAGCCUGAGAAAAGGCUACCACAUCCAAGGAAGGCAGCAGGUGCGCAGAUUACCCACUCCCAACGCGGGGAGGUAGUGAUG
Pelobates cultripes (western spadefoot toad) is the source of this 243-nucleotide non-coding RNA. The record is from the annotation of a GenBank genome assembly. Lineage: Eukaryota; Metazoa; Chordata; Amphibia; Anura; Pelobatidae.